RNAcentral lists this ribosomal RNA (447 nucleotides) under uncultured bacterium. RNAcentral's name for it is "bacterial SSU rRNA". It matches the Rfam family "Bacterial small subunit ribosomal RNA", at positions 330 to 794 of the family's 1533-position model. The record is from RNAcentral.
UCCAGACUCCUACGGGAGGCAGCAGUGGGGAAUAUUGCACAAUGGGGGAAACCCUGAUGCAGCAACGCCGCGUGAGUGGAGAAGUCAUUCGUGAUGUAAAGCUCUCUCAGCAGGGAAGAAAAUGACGGUACCUGAGUAAGAAGCCCCGGCUAACUACGUGCCAGCAGCCGCGGUAAUACGUAGGGGGCAAGCGUUAUCCGGAUUUACUGGGUGUAAAGGGGGCGCAGACGGCAAUGCAAGCCAGGAGUGAAAGCCCGGGGCCCAACCCCGGGACUGCUCUUGGAACUGCAUGGCUGGAGUACAGGAGGGGCAGGCGGAAUUCCUAGUGUAGCGGUGAAGUGCGUAGAUAUUAGGAGGAACACCGGUGGCGAAGGCGGCCUGCUGGACUGUGACUGACGUUGAGGCCCGAAGGCGUGGGGAGCAAACAGGAUUAGAUACCCCAGUAGC